Molecule: long non-coding RNA, 1059 nt
Filed under: Physcomitrium patens
Lineage: Eukaryota; Viridiplantae; Streptophyta; Bryopsida; Funariales; Funariaceae
Description: long non-coding RNA (PPAT_LNC000959)
Source: RNAcentral
AGUAUUAGUUUUGGAUGAUUUGGAUUUGUAUUGACUUUGUAAGAGCUUUGCAAAGUCAAGGUUUUUUUUGGAUAACUCUGGAUUUGUGAAAUAAAAUAGAAGAUAUAUUUUAGAUAAUUUCAUAAGUUUGGCAAUAGAUCUAUAGGUGAAAUUUUAAGAAACUCUGGGUUUAUAUGUGCUUAAUAUAUGCUGUGUGUUUGGGCUUCAUCAAAGAGUUGGAUCAAGGAUUAUUGAGAUUUAAGUAGGUCAAGGUCUCAAAAAGUAGAGUUUUAGGUCUAAUAAGGGUUUCUAAGUUUUCUUGUAAUCUAUCAAUUGAAUUAGAGUGAAAAUUAUGUAUAUGAAUAAUAGACCUAUUUUUCUAUAUAUGUAAGAAAUUUGAGAUCAAUUGAAUGGUUCAAUAAAGAGAUAUUGGCACCAGAAAUUCAACAUUCAGAUUGGAGAAGGAGGCUAGCCAACAUCUUAGAAAAUAUUAGGAUUGAUCUUCUUUUUGGUGAAUUUGGUCUUCUUCAAAAAAAAAAUUUCUUGUUGUCAAUUUAACUAUUAAGAGGUAUGAAAAAUUUAAGUUAAAAUCAAUGGUUCAUUCAUUAGUUAUUGAGGUUUAAAUCUGCUAUAGAAAUUACUAGGAUUUGAUUAAGGUUUAUUUAGGAUUUGGUUAAAGUUUGUUUAGGAUUUGAUUAGGAUUUGGUUAGGAUUUUUUUAGGAUUUUUUUAGGAUUUUUUUUAGGAUUUGAUUAGGAUUUGUUUAAAAUUUAUUUAAAAUUUAUUUAAAAUUUGAUUAGGAUUUGUUUAGGAUUUAUCUAGGAUUUGGUUAGGAUUUUUUAGGAUUUUUUAGAGUUUGACUAGGAUUUAUUUAGAAUUUGGUCAGGAUUUAUUAAGAUUUUUUAGGAUUUGAUUAGAAUUUAUUAGAGUUUAUUAGGAUUUGAUUAGGAUUUAUUUAAGAUUUGAUUAGGAUUUGAUUAGAAUUUGAUUAGGUUUUGACUAUGAUUUAAUUAAGAUUUAUAUUUUAAUAUUUUAUUAAUAUUUCUAUUUUAAUAUAUUUUCGAAUUUUAUAUUAUUUCUU